Molecule: long non-coding RNA, 1456 nt
Organism: Ailuropoda melanoleuca (giant panda)
Lineage: Eukaryota; Metazoa; Chordata; Mammalia; Carnivora; Ursidae
Exons: 3
Source: RefSeq, a predicted model, not a curated record
UGGAUGGGUCAGGGAAAUUUCUCUAAACUGGUGUUUCCUAACCCUGGCUGUGUGUUAAGAUCACCUGGGAGCUUUUUAUACCUAAUAGGCAGUCCAUGAGAUUCUGACUUAAGCUUAUCUGGGACGGGACCCUUGGCAUUAGAAAAUUUGAAUCUCCUUGGGGUAUUGUAAUGUGUAGUCAAGCCUGAGAUUUGCUGUUCUAAACCAGUUUUUCUUAACAACACCUGGGUGCUAAGCACAGCUGCAUUUUGGUGUGACUUCCUUUUAAUAACCACAAGCCACGUUAAGGAAGGCUGGAGGCUGCCCCCUAUGGGGUAGGAGGCCACGCCAUAACCCUACGUUUAGACAGGUGACAAUGGGAAGUAGGUAUCUCAAGACCAGGUGGGCAAGAUUAAAAAAAUGGCAAGUUCUGAAGGCAGCGAAAAAUCCCCAGCUGAAGAUGACAGAGGCUGGAACCAAUUCAGGAGUAUGAGCCAAAGAUUACAGUCCCAGGACAGCAAACUACCAGGGUCAGGUUAUCCCAGGCCUAUGGAGCCAGCACGGGGGUAAAGCUUGAUUCUAGAACCAACUGCAGCAUGUCAGCAACUCCAUAUGUCCCAUGUCCUGGGCCAGAACUGGGUGAGUGGGAUUGUAUUCACCUGGGUUUUACACAACCAGGACAAAAAGAAGAGGAAGCUAGCAGGAUCUUGAAAAGUAAAAAGCAGAGAGGAAAUUGUUUGGUCUACAUAAUGCUCAUCGACCAGUUGCAUUGUUUUUGUUUUUGUCUUUACCAAACUGACCAAAUGUUUCUGACGUUGUAUAGAUCCCUGAGAUAAUGAGAAUCCAGACAGAACAGUCCCUUGGAGCGGCGCUCCUCAAACUUGAAUACUGCAAUGAAUUCCCUGGGGAUCUUGUUAAAUUGAUGAAGGGAGUCUGUUGUUUCUGCAGAAGGGUCCCAUUCCUUGAGCAAAGUAACUUUCUGAACACCUAAGUACAAGGACAGCAUCGCGCCAUAAACAAUGUUCCGCAUCACCCACUUUCCUUCCCCACGCCCUGUCCCAUCAGAAAGGCCGACGUUCCACAGAGUGAACCAGGCUUGAGUUGACCUAGUGAAGCAAGAACCACAAAUAAGUAACCUGUUACCUGGGAACAGAGCAGCAAUUCUUUCGUAAAUGAAUGUCAAUGAGGUACAUUUAUGACAACUCCUCUUGGAGUGAAGGUGGAAUGAGGGACUGGAAGGUAGGUACUCAAGACAAGCUCUGCCCUGGGGAGGGGGUGGGGGGCUGUGUGGUAGUCUCAGUUCCUCCACAAAGCAGCUGUGUGAGGUUGAUAGCAAGACGGCCCCCCUUCUCCAGGCUCAGUAUAUUUGUGUAAAGUGACAGGGUUGAACAGAUAACUGUUGUUGGUUUAGAGCACUGAGAUUCUGUGACUCUCUAUUGCUAGUUAUCUCUAGAACAUUCCCUGCUCCACACCCAGG